Molecule: ribosomal RNA, 682 nt
Filed under: uncultured Kaistia sp.
Lineage: Bacteria; Pseudomonadati; Pseudomonadota; Alphaproteobacteria; Hyphomicrobiales; Kaistiaceae
Description: bacterial SSU rRNA
Rfam family: Bacterial small subunit ribosomal RNA
Source: RNAcentral
AGUGGCGCACGGGUGAGUAACGCGUGGGAAUAUGCCCUUUAGUACGGGAUAACCAAGGGAAACUUUGGCUAAUACCGUAUACGCCCUUCGGGGGAAAGAUUUAUCGCUAAAGGAUUAGCCCGCGUAGGAUUAGCUAGUUGGUGAGGUAAUGGCUCACCAAGGCGACGAUCCUUAGCUGGUCUGAGGGGACGACCAGCCACACUGGAACUGAGACACGGUCCAGACUCCUACGGGAGGCAGCAGUGGGGAAUAUUGGGCAAUGGAGGAGACUCUGACCCAGCCAUGCCGCGUGAAUGAUGAAGGCCUUAGGGUUGUAAAGUUCUUUCGUUGGUGAAGAUAAUGACGGUAACCAAAGAAGAAGCCCCGGCUAACUUCGUGCCAGCAGCCGCGGUAAUACGAAGGGGGCUAGCGUUGUUCGGAAUCACUGGGCGUAAAGCGCACGCAGGCGGUCAUGCAAGCCAGAGGUGAAAUCCCGGAGCCUAACUCCGGAACUGCCUUUGGAACUGCAUGGCUAGAGUCUCGGAGGGGGUGGCGGAAUUCCUAAUGUAGGGGUGAAAUCCGUAGAUAUUAGGAGGAACACCGGUGGCGAAGGCGGCCACCUGGACGAGUACUGACGCUCAUGUGCGAAAGCGUGGGGAGCAAACAGGAUUAGAUACCCUGGUAGUCCACGCCGUAAACGAUG